Molecule: ribosomal RNA, 449 nt
Filed under: uncultured bacterium
Lineage: Bacteria
Description: partial 16S ribosomal RNA
Rfam family: Bacterial small subunit ribosomal RNA
Source: RNAcentral
CCUACGGGCGGCUGCAGUGGGGAAUUUUGGACAAUGGGCGCAAGCCUGAUCCAGCCAUUCCGCGUGAGUGAAGAAGGCCUUCGGGUUGUAAAGCUCUUUCGCAAGGGAAGAAAACUUAUCCUCUAACAUAGGAUGAGGUUGACGGUACCUUGAUAAGAAGCACCGGCUAACUACGUGCCAGCAGCCGCGGUAAUACGUAGGGAGGUAGCGGUAAUCGGAAGUGCUGGGCGUAAUUUGUGAGUCGGCUGUGAAAUCCCCGAGCUCAACUUGGGAACUGCGUUUGAAACUACAAGACUAGAAUAGGUCAGAGGGGGGUAGAAUUCCACGUGUAGCAGUGAAAUGCGUAGAGAUGUGGAGGAAUAUCAAUGGCGAAGGCAGCCCCCUGGGAUCAUAUUGACGCUCAUGCACGAAAGCGUGGGGAGCAAACAGGAUUAGAUACCCCGGUAGUC